UCCAGGCUCCGGGUCCGAGGGCCUGGGGAGUCGCGCGGCGAUCGAUGGCCAAGAGCAGCUCCCUCCGAUCACCCUUCAGGCCUCAGCUUAAAAGUCACUUCCUCACAAACGACUCUCCCAUCCAGCGGUCUAAAGGAGCUUUUCCUUUCCUUAGUGCUAAACAUUACAAUUCUGUUGAGCUUCAAGACAAAUGGCCAACUUGAAAAAAGAGAUAAAUGACAAGUGAAAAACGUCGAAUUUUGCACACGUAAAUAUUUAACCUCAAUUACAUUAAUAGCAAAAGUACUUUACUUCACUGUUUGGCACACAGAAGAUUUUCAGGGAGUGUCUGGAGGAACUGAAUCAGGUCUUUGCAGAUCCGCUGGUUCCUGAGUGAUAAUACACAGUGCUGGCUGUCAGGAGACAGUCUCCUUGUUUAUUAGCAAUGACCAGCUUGGAUGACAGAUGGCAUCUGCUGGAUGGCAAGUGGGAGAUGGG
Long non-coding RNA from Pan troglodytes (chimpanzee), 477 nucleotides. RefSeq lists it as uncharacterized. Lineage: Eukaryota; Metazoa; Chordata; Mammalia; Primates; Hominidae. The record is from RefSeq and is a predicted model, not a curated record. The transcript has 3 exons.